GGCCAGCGCCUAAGCACCAUUUGAGGUCUAUCUGUGCACGUCGUGCCUUAUCCACACAAAGAAGCAAGUAUUCUUGAGACAUACAUUCAUCCAUUUUCUGAGCUGCUUAUCCUCACGAGGGUCAUGGGAGUGCUGUAGCCUAUCCCAGCUAUCUUCGGGCUUGAGCGAGCAGUUCUUCCCACGAAGAAACCGGCGUCCAUCCCGCGGGCGCAUCACACCCGCGCACCUGUGAAUACGCACUCUGGCGUGUCAGCGGCUGUCUCCUCCUCUCAUCACUGUCACCCAAAACGUGAGCGCCGAACGGCCACCAUUUUCUCGAGUUGUUAUUUAUGGCUUCACAAAUGGAGGAGGAAGUGGAACUACAAGUCAACGCGCUGACGGUUAUCAAUCAACCUCACAUUUUAUUCCCUGACGCGCCUCAGCUGUAAAAGCUUCACGUGACCUGAAUGUUAAUUUUAUUUUUUUGUUGUUGUUGUUUUUGUCCUCACACCCCCGAGAGCGGACGUGACUCACUCUGGGCCAGAAUCGAUAAAAAGGGGAAGAGCCGAUAGGAUGUCAGGAAACCUCAAAAAUCACAUCCUCAACCUGUUUUGAGAGAGUUUUGAGACGUGAUGAAGAAAAAUUGGAACAUUCAUAACAGAUAAAUUGCUGUAUCAAUAAACGACUGAUUUUGUGUAUCUUGCUAGUUGAACAUGAAAGUUUUCAUUUUGGGUAAACUAUGUUGAAAUGUUAAAACAGACAUUACCGGUGUUAGCCAAAACGUUAGCGCUCGCUAAAUUAGCCUAGCUUACUUUAGAAACACACGGCAGCGAGUUUCAGUGCUCAUAAAAAGUCACACAUUCAAACGAGCCCCAUAAAAGGUAAAAAAAAAAAUAAUAAUAAUUGUCUAUUAUUUUACAAUAUUUUAAGGAGUCUUUCUGCUUCAUCUGAAAGAAAUAGCAACAUUUAAGCAGCACAUCUUCUUGACCACCCCAGUAAGCUAUAGCGUCGACUUGGCUAGCAUUCUCCGGAAAAUAAUACAUCGCAUUCAAGGGCUGAAUAUUACAGCCAGUGAAGAACAUGUACAAAUUUUUAAAAACAUAAAUGACUGGUAGCGUUACCAAAAUGUUCACUUUAUUGUUGUUGUUUUUUUUCUUAUCAAUGUAGCGCCUUCCGUCCAAGUCGACAAUGCGUCCGCAAAUUACAUUCAAGAAAAUCCUUUGUUUUAUUUAAAUUAAAUAAAAUACAUUUAAAAAUAAUACAUUUAUUAUAUAAAAUUAAAUACCCAUUUUUGAGUUUGGUGCCCGGCUGUAAAUUUAAAUUACAAUAAAAUAAAAAAAAAAAAACACUUAAAUCACAUACUACAUUUUUUCAACAAUUUCAACUCAAACAAACCCUUUAUACUCUGACUUCUAACACCUGAUACCGACGAGUCAUAAAUCUACUCCAUGUUCAAUAUUGUUUGUGUUUUUGAACAAUUUUUGAUUUUAGAAAAAAUAUUUGACAUAUUCCAACAUUUGAUUUUAGAAAAAACAUAUUUUCAUCACAAUGGCAGAACCUAAAAAUACAGGAUGUGUGGAUUUCGCGACGAAACGCAGAAGGUCACAUGACGUGAGUCAUC
This is a long non-coding RNA of Syngnathoides biaculeatus (alligator pipefish), 1600 nucleotides long. RefSeq lists it as uncharacterized. The transcript is spliced from 3 exons. The record is from RefSeq and is a predicted model, not a curated record. Lineage: Eukaryota; Metazoa; Chordata; Actinopteri; Syngnathiformes; Syngnathidae.